Molecule: ribosomal RNA, 492 nt
Filed under: uncultured bacterium
Lineage: Bacteria
Description: partial 16S ribosomal RNA
Rfam family: Bacterial small subunit ribosomal RNA
Source: RNAcentral
AGUGAACGCUGGCGGUAGGCCUAACACAUGCAAGUCGAACGGCAGCACAGUAAGAGCUUGCUCUUACGGGUGGCGAGUGGCGGACGGGUGAGGAAUACAUCGGAAUCUACUUUUUCGUGGGGGAUAACGUAGGGAAACUUACUCUAAUACCGCAUACGACCUACGGGUGAAAGCAGGGGAUCUUCUGACCUUGCGCGAUUGAAUGAGCCGAUGUCGGAUUAGCUAGUUGGCGGGGUAAAGGCCCACCAAGGCGACGAUCCGUAGCUGGUCUGAGAGGAUGGUCGGCCACCCUGGAACUGAACCACGGUCCAGAGUCCUACGGGAGGCAGCAGUGGGGAAUAUUGGACAAUGGGCGCAAGCCUGAUCCAGCCAUAUCGCGUGGGUGGAGAAGGCCUUCGGGUUGUGAAGCCCUUUUGUUGGGAAAGAAAAGCAGCAGGUUAAUACCCCGCUGUUCUGACGGUACCCAAAGAAUAAGCACCGGCUAACUUCGUG